This 205-nucleotide unclassified non-coding RNA is filed under the name Hevea brasiliensis (rubber tree). The record is from RNAcentral. Lineage: Eukaryota; Viridiplantae; Streptophyta; Magnoliopsida; Malpighiales; Euphorbiaceae.
GCCACCACCUCUAUCCUACAAAAGUGUAUCACAGAUAAGCAAGAAUCUUUCUAUGACAAGAAAUCAUGAAAAGUCCAAUAAUAUGGGAAAAAUUAUAGAAGUAGGGUAAGAAAAAUAAAAGUGUACAAAUUCAAUGAGCCACCACACACCAUGCACAAAGAAAAAUUCAAAUUUCAUGCCAUCAAGAUCAAAUAGUUUGUAAGUU